Molecule: long non-coding RNA, 2455 nt
Filed under: Homo sapiens (human)
Lineage: Eukaryota; Metazoa; Chordata; Mammalia; Primates; Hominidae
Description: HSALNT0331081
Source: RNAcentral
AAAACUUCUCUAGCUGCUGUGUCACAAAGAUACUGGAAAGGGGCAAGGUGAAGGAGGAGACCAGCAGAGCAGCCACGGCCGGGACAGUGCAGAGGAGGGAAGAUGACACAGCUGUGAGACAUUUUGGGAAAUAUGGAAACCUGGUGGAGACUCAUAUAAAAAUGGUGGAUAGGAGGCAAGACUAACUUGCAGCUCCCAUUCGGAUGGACAGAGUAGCAGGUGGAAACUCACGUGAACUUUCGCUCUAAGAACUACCAAGGGAACAUACCAGGAAAGCCAAGAGAAUGAGAAUCCACAGACCCUUUAAAGGAGGUGGAUUGCCACCGCGGGCUGCGUGGAACUGCCAAGGAACUAGUCUUGCUCUAUUGCCCAGGCUGGAGUACAGUGUUUCUACCUUGGCUAACUGCAACCUCCACCUCCCAGGUUCAAGCGAUUCUCCUGCCUCAGCCUCCCGAGUGAGACCAUUAUUCUAAGUGAAGUAACUCAGGAAUGUAAGUAACUCAGGUAUGGAAGUAACUAAGUGAAGUAACCCAGGAAUGGAAGUAACUCAGGAAUGAAGUAAUUCAGGAAUGGAAAACCAAAUAUCAUAUGUUCUCACUCAUUAGUGGGAGCUAAGCUAUGAAGAUACAAAGGCAUAAGAACCAUACAAUGGACUUUGGGGACUCCGGGGAAAGGGUGGGAGGGGGCAACGGAUAAAAGACUAUGCAUUGGGUACAGUGUACACUGCUCGGGUGAUGGGUGCACCAAAAUCUCAGAAAUCACCACUAAAGAACUUAUUCAUGUACAAAAACAUUAAUUAAUUUUUUUAAUGUAAAAAAAAAACAGAGAUAUGGAAACCUUUCCAGUAGCCCCAUCAGACUCCUCUCAUGUCUCAUUGCCCAGAUUUGGGCCACAUGCUGAAACUGAGACCAGUCACUGGUUCAUGAAAGAGGAUUAGCCUGAUUGGCCUAGACCAUCCGUGGGUCCAUAUGUGGUCCUAUUUUGCACAUGAUAAGCAUGCAGUUUUAUCAUAUGGAAUUUACCAGGUAAUUUUGACAGCACCUAUACCCUGUUCAACAGAGGAAUCCACUGUUCACAUGUUUGGAUGCCAUAGCAAAGUCAAAUAGCUAUAAAAGUUUCUAAACACUCUCCGUUUCUAUACUUAUUACACAGCAGUAGUAAAUAAAUAGUUCGCUGCAGAACAGCACUGCUCAAUGGACCACACUUUGAGUAACACUGGCUUAGACUGCUCAGAAUCACCUCCUACACCUAGGAUGGAGUCAGCUCCCUGACACAUGUGAAGCUAGGGUGGAGAACUUAGAAAAUCAGGGAUAUGUUGUCAAGGCACAAAGGCAGAAAGGAAGCUGGGUAGGCAACUUGUAGUUCAUUACACUGCACUUCAACAACCAGCUGAGAGCGGGUCACCAUUCAUACACAACUUUGAACACAACUCCACACACUGAGACGGUGUCCUCACUGCAUACAGCCGCCUUGUCCUUCUCUAAGGCAGAAUGAGAUAAUACUCCUAUUCCUGACUAGAAGCAAAGAAUCUGGCCACAGGUGGUAGGGAGGGAAAAGAUUAUUUGGAGUAUCUGGCCUGGGUUAGUUAGGCUAGGCUAGGCUGCCAUAACAAACAACUCCAAAUUCCCAGCAGUUUACGACAAUAAUGGAUAAUUUCUCACCCAUGCUACAUGGCCACUGUGAGGUGGCUGUGGCUCUGCCCCACAUCUGCCUUAUCUGGGGACCCAGGAGGAUGGGGCAGCCUUUAUCUGGAACGGUGCUAAUUUUGUGGCGAAGGGGAAAAGAAUAUAGGAAGCCACAAGAUGAUUCCUUAAGCUUUUCCUAGAAGUAUCAAUCUUCACUUCCCUCACAUUGCAUUAGCCAUAACAAGUCACAUGGCAAAGCCUGAAGUUAAUGGGACAGAGAAGUAGAAUCUUCCCUAACGAGGACCAUGGACAUUUUUGAACAAGAUCACAAUCUCUCAUGGCCCCUUCCUGAGCCCAGGUGCCACAUCCAUGGAGAAUGGUUUUUUUCCCUACAUCAUCUAGAUUGGAAAGUCUUUCCUGGUUGAAGACACCAUCGAUGUUUUGUUGUGACUCUCCUCACAGAAUAAAUACUCCGAGGUGGCUUUUCCCAGCGAAAUAAAUACAGAGGUGCAAAGUGUUGGGGGUGGGGGGUGCUGUGUACCUACUAUGUUCUAGAUACUCUGCUAGAUUCCUUCCACAUGGUUUAUAAACAUUCUUACAGUCACCCUCUGAAAGCAGGCAUAACUUUACAGCAGAGGAAACAGGCUCAGGAAUAGUGCAUAACUUGUCCUAUCUGUUAAAGCUAGAAAAAACCAUGGAAAUAGUGAUUGUUUAUACUAUCAUCAGUAUUAUUAAAAUGACUGCCUUUUAUCAAGAAUUACUCCAUACCCUGUAGUGUUAUUUACUUCACUUGGAUAAUCUCAUUUGAAUUUUACAACAAUCUUAUGGCA